AAUAUCUUUUUUUUUUUAUUUUAAUUGAUUUUGUGUUUAUUAUGUUUUUUUUUUAAUUUGUAUCGACGGUUUUAAUACAUUGAGGCGAAUUUUUAUCAAGUAUUCGCAAAACUCAAAUAGAAUAAAUCGUCGAAAAAAAAUCCCUUGAUGUUUUGAACGGUUGAGAUUUUAGUUCGUGAGAGGUGAAAUUUCCUGUUGAAGAUGUCUAGGGGCUUGUCAUAUCCUAUCGCCUUGAGGGAGCGGAAAUUCUGCGAUUACCUUGUGGGACUGGCCAUGAGAAUAACAUUUUAUUUUUUUUAGUUUUUUAACCUUUUUAGUUUCAAUUUUAUUUUAUUUUUUGACUAAAAUUCCCGGAUGGUCGUGGUUUUGUAUAGCAACAGUCCCCAACAUUUAGAAAUUACAGUGGUUACUAGGGUUUACUUUUUUUAUUUCCAAAAGUUGGGGUCUGUAGAUGUUACUUUACAAAACCGCUAGGACUAUCCGAAUAUUUCCUGUGGAUUUUUACAACGUGUGCAGAAACAGGCGUUAAAGGGAUUUGAAUAGAUUCAGCAACGGGAUGGCUUUUUUGAUCUAAAAGAGCAAACUAAGGGAGGGUUGAUUUAGCAGUUUUGUUUUGUUUGGAAAAUGGGUUAGUUUAGCUUUUUGGAUAUCUUUCAGAAAUGCUAAUUAUGGGUUGUAAAACGAGAAUGUUUGUUUUCUGUUUUUGCUUUUAUUAACUACUUAAUUAAUUAAUUGUUAAAGAUGUUUAUACGUUUGACCACUAUCAAUAAACAUUUUUUUUACAUACUUUGGAGCACGAUUUGAUAUAACAUGUUUCGAUAACUUGAUUGGCACAUCACAUAACCCCACUCAACUGUGUUGCUUGCUUAACAUCAUAACAUAUAAAAAUCACAGAAGAUUGGGUUCGAAACGGAUUAAUACUUGGUUGUUAAAUUGUGUUUCAAAACGGUAACAAAAUUAGACCAUAUCGUGUAAGCGUGGAAUCCACGCCGGAAAUACCACCCUGCAUAUGGUGUGGAAGUGACGUUGUCGGUUUGGUAGUCCUAUAGUUCUCGGAUUAGUGGUGGUGAGGUAGCCAUUUUAAAAAAGGUUUCACAUAACUGUGCCAUUCUGUAAUAAGUCAACGUAUCAUACCUUGACCGUCUCACCAAGGGCGAGAGGGGCGGCAGACAUCUGAACUUUUCGCUCAGUAGGAGAGAGUAUGUAGUUUUUGUAUAGAAAUUUUUGGGUGUGUAUACAUUUUCGACCCCCUGAUUUUAUAGAAAUUUUUUGGUAUAUACGUUUUUGACCCCCCUGUUUGUCUGAAAUCUCAAGCUUUGUCACUGCGUCUCACAUUUUAUUAAACGUAGUAUGCGACAGGGUGCUCCAAGUGUACGCAUUAAAUGAUAACUAGCUUUGAGUUGGAGGAGAAUAGGGCUGUCCAAAAAGCUCGCAGCUCGGAGCUCGCUCGGAUUUAGCUCGGAAAAAGCUCGCUCGAUAUGGCUCGGUUUGAAAGUGAGCCGAGCCAGCUCGGCUCGGUUAGAAAGUGAGCCAGCUCGGCUCAGCUCGUAGCGAACCGAGUAGGCUCGGUUUGGCUCGCUUGGUAGCUCAACUCGGCUUAUAUCGGAUUAUUUUCUUCAUAAUAUAUACAUUAUAUAUUACAAAAAAACUUGUUAUUAUUUAUAUAUAUUCAGGCUUGUAAUUUGAUAUCCAUGACAUAUUUGAAUCUUAAUUACCUUGCUAAAGAACUAAUAUUGUUUCACUGAAAUUGUAAAACUUAUUUUCCGUUGUUAAACAUGAUUUUAACUUGUAAUGUAUUAGGAUAAAGUUAUUUUGAAUAUGUUUUUUGAAGUAUUGAAUAAUAUUUUAGGCUAUUGAAUUUUGAGAGUUAUAUAUUAUAUUUUUCUCUAUAAAAUCGAGCCAAACCAAGCCGAGCCGAGCCAGCUCGGUUUAAAACCAAGCCGAGCCCGAGCCUAGAUUUUCAGCUCGGUUUCAAAUCCGAGCCGAGCCGAGCCAGCUCGGUUUAUAAUCGAGCCGAGCCCGAGCUUACCCUGGCUAGGCUCGGCUCGGCUCAUGAACAGCCCUAGAGGAGAAUCUCCCUUUGGGGGAUGAAGCCAAACGUUCUAAUCUUUUGCACUACCUGUAUAGAUUAUAGAAUACCACAAUUAUUUUUGCGUUGAAGAUUGAUCAUGCAACCUGGCCCUCAUAACACUACUCUUAAAUUAAACCAAAUUUUAUCUCAUGCCAGGAAUUGAACCAUGGUCUCUCCCUGACUGUUGAGAUUGAGUUCGAAAUCAAACACACUUAAUACUCCAGUGGAUCCUUUCCAUAAUGCUAGGCUGUUACAAAACUAUGGACUAAAGUAAUUUACUUAAGUGAAGUCAUGAGAUCGUCAGUAAGGAUCUUGAAUUUGAAUAAUGCUAGGUUUUGAGUUUCCAAAAUAGUUUGACCCGACCCAAACUGAAAAAUAUGUAAUCAAGU
This 2460-nucleotide long non-coding RNA is filed under the name Helianthus annuus (common sunflower). RNAcentral's name for it is "hypothetical non coding rna". Lineage: Eukaryota; Viridiplantae; Streptophyta; Magnoliopsida; Asterales; Asteraceae. The record is from RNAcentral.